This 1039-nucleotide long non-coding RNA is filed under the name Cercocebus atys (sooty mangabey). Its description in RNAcentral is "lncRNA (ENSCATG00000045557.1)". Lineage: Eukaryota; Metazoa; Chordata; Mammalia; Primates; Cercopithecidae. The record is from RNAcentral.
ACUGAGAUGCUUUUUUGACCCUGAAGCCAUCAACUUUCAAAGUUUUGUCUGUGAAAUAAUAGAAUGCCUUUACUGUUUAACCCACUGUGACUGGGGCAUUAUGAAGCUUUCAGCAGAAGGCAUUCCUAACUAAUACACUUGUGCUCAGGCUACCAUAUUUUGGUCCUGCAGUUUCUACCCAAAAUUCCAAAUCAUGGGACCAUCUUUUAUUUCCAGGAUUGGCUGACACCCCCAUCUCCUACCUCCCCUUCUUGAGAGCUGAUGAACAGCCUGUUGAAUCUGCUUGGAUCCUUUGCAGGGAGACACAGAAAAGUACAAAGAAGAAAACUAAAAAGGUGACCCAGAGAGAACCACUCUAAGAUGUUCAUGGGAAUUCAGCUCAGCUUGUGUAUUUAUAUUGAGAUCCUAUAUUGAGAUCCCACUGUUGUCUGCUUUUUCAUUUUUCAUGAAAAUAAAACUUGACUCAAAGUUUCAUUUUAAAAUACCUUUGCUUAUUACUAUUAUUUGAAUACUUAGACAUUCAAAAUGUUCAAAAGGUGUCCAGGGAGAAGUGAGGCUGCCUCCCACUCCAGCCUCUGUUGAUCAGUUUCUUGUGUGCACUUCCUUCCCUGGGUCUAAGUCCCCUGCAGACCUGUGAGUUCCAGCUCUCCUGCUCCCAUUCAUUUUGAGUUUUUUUGUGUGUUCACUCGAUUACAAAUCAUGACAUUAUUUUAAAAAUCAGAACCUACAGACAAUCAAAAGAAAGAGGAGCAUAAGAAAAGUGGAAUCAAGCCAGGUGUGGUGACACAUGCCUAUAAUCCGAGCACUUUGAGAGGCUGAAACAGGAGGAUUACUUGAGCUCAGGAGUUCAAGAUCAGCCUGGGCAACACAGCGAGACCUUCAUCUCUACAAAAUUUAAAAAAAAAAAAAAAAGGAAAUUAGCCAGGUGUGGUGGUGCACGCCUGUGGCCCAGCUACUCGGGAGGCCAAGGUGGGAGAUGACUUGAGCCCAAGGAGGUCAAGGCUGCAGUGAGCCAUGAUCACACCACUGCACUCCAACC